Molecule: ribosomal RNA, 492 nt
Filed under: uncultured bacterium
Lineage: Bacteria
Description: partial 16S ribosomal RNA
Rfam family: Bacterial small subunit ribosomal RNA
Source: RNAcentral
AGUGAACGCUGGCGGUAGGCCUAACACAUGCAAGUCGAACGGCAGCACAGUAAGAGCUUGCUCUUACGGGUGGCGAGUGGCGGACGGGUGAGGAAUACAUCGGAAUCUACUUUUUCGUGGGGGAUAACGUAGGGAAACUUACGCUAAUACCGCAUACGACUUACGGGUGAAAGCAGGGGAUCUUCGGACCUUGCGCGAUUGAAUGAGCCGAUGUCGGAUUAGCUAGUUGGCUGGGUAAAGGCCCACCAAGGCGACGAUCCGUAGCUGGUCUGAGAGGAUGAUCAGCCACACUGGAACUGAGACACGGUCCAGACUCCUACGGGAGGCAGCAGUGGGGAAUAUUGGACAAUGGGCGCAAGCCUGAUCCAGCCAUACCGCGUGGGUGAAGAAGGCCUUCGGGUUGUAAAGCCCUUUUGUUGGGAAAGAAAAGCAGCAGGUUAAUACCCCGCUGUUCUGACGGUACCCAAAGAAUAAGCACCGGCUAACUUCGUG